Long non-coding RNA from Ailuropoda melanoleuca (giant panda), 222 nucleotides. RefSeq lists it as uncharacterized. The record is from RefSeq and is a predicted model, not a curated record. The transcript is spliced from 4 exons. NCBI's taxonomy places the organism in Eukaryota, Metazoa, Chordata, Mammalia, Carnivora, Ursidae.
GAUGCCUUGGAGGAAGACUUCGAUCCCACCAAAGGAGACAGCACCGGAGGCACACCUCUCGCCGUGGUGACCCCAGCAACCAGCGAGAGUGAUGUGACUGAUGAUGGUGCUGUCUGGUCAUGGCUUUUUCAGAGUGUUACAGAGGAGGAGGGCCUGCCUCUGGCCAAGGUGACCCCGGCAGGCAGCGAAUGCGGUACAUAUUCUGGAAUCAGCCUCCUCGUG